CAAUUGAUAGUCGAGUCAGUGACACAGAGACGGGCCAAUAGUAAAGUGGCCGUAUCCCUUUCGCUUUUGAUUCUAUCUUUAAGGGCUUGGGACUCUUGUAUUUUGUUCGUCCAAUUUCGAAACAAGACAAAAGGAGGGUUCGAAUCAAAAUGAUCAAGUCAUUUGAAAAGAAUGUGCCCCGAAUGUAUAAAAAAAAAAAGAAAAAAAAGAAGUCAAGAUUUCAUUUUCCUCCGCUUCUAUACCUGUUCUAAACAAAUGCGGAAAAAAAGGGGGGCUUGUUCCAGUUAAAAAACAUGUGCACUUUUCAAAAUGAAAAAAGUUCCCACUGGUAAAAACUGUGAGGCCUGCAUUUGUGCUUGGACCUUAUCAAAAUAUAUCUCGCCGUGUUCUCCCUCUCUUUUGGUGAGUGCGGAUGUUUUAGUUUUUUUGUUCCUGAACAAGGGAGGGGGUCCGUGUUCUGUGUGUACGUUGUUAAACCAUCAACUGAUGUACUUGUACGAUGUACACUGGACUGAAACACAGGGGAAACUUUCAAGCGAGGGUGAAAUAAAAAGGAAGGGAGAGUUGGCCCAGUCUCCCUAGAAACACACCGGCCGGAAAUGGCCGCAGCACAUCUGCACCCUCCCCCCUCUCUCUUUUUCUACUAACAACAAAGACCGAAAGAGAAAUGGUUGGGAAGCCAAAAAGACAGGAUCUAUUCAGCCGGUGGUAAAGGAAUCUUUCAAAUAUACCCCCCCAUUUUUUAAAAUUUCAUCAACAUCUUAUAAUGAAAUACAAAUAAGUUGUGGAAGUUGACAAAGGAAGCGAAGGAUUCAGUAACUGGAUGACAUUUCAGAUUGGCAGCGAGAUUGACGCACGACUCGGCAGUCGGAUCUAACGUUACAAGUCACUUAUAGACUAGCAGAGAUUUCGCAACAAAAAACAAAACACCCAACCUAAACAUAAAGAAGUUUUGUUCCUCAUUGCGACAUUGGAAUCAGCAACACGAAAUAUGAAUCCGGAACAAAGAUCAUUCCCGUGGAAUUCGAGCGUCCAAAAAUAACUAAACCAACAACAAAGUUGGUUCCGCGUACGUUUUCGGGACUUGUGACGCAACAGAGAGAACAAAAGAAAUGGACUGUUUUUCUUUUCUUAUUGAAAUUAAUGGCGACGGUAAAGGACGAUGCGUUUCACGUUUGAAAGAAAAAGGGGGAAAACAAAAUUUUGAUUUCUUCAAGUUGUUAGAUGAAAAUGUGGAUCAGUCACGGACCGAACGAAUGUUCGUGCGCCCGGAGGAAGCAAAAAAUUCACCUAUGUCGAAUCUUGAUCGUCCAAGCAAAUAAUAAUUCAACGAAAGGCUGCAAUCUAAUAUCCGAGCACGAUUUGAGCCGUCUUGAACUCGUCACACAAAUUUCGUUGGCUGGCCAAUGAAACGACACGCUUCGAACGCAGCCAAAACAAAGUCACCGUCUCGACACUGACGUGUAUGUCAAAACACUGGGGUCCUUUUAAUUGAUGUAUAAUAAAGGAGAAAAGAAGAAUAAUUAGUGAUGAAUCAAUGAACUCACUCACUGACAAAGUCACGCUCUACUGGAGGAGGAAAACAAGAAGUCACGCGGAGAGCAGGCGGAUGCGUGUCGAGCAAGGAGAAUCGCUCGAAACGAACUGGUAGCCGUUCACGUGUCGACAGACGAUCUCUAUACUUGGGACUUGACAGUCAUCCGACAGAGCCAUCUAGCGACGAAAUGUCGAACCACAAUGGAAGACGGUUGAAAUAAUAAUAAAUAACAAAUGAAGUUGACGAAAGAAAGAAAUUCAAAACCACAAAGUCUUUCUAGUGAUGAGAGAGAAAGACGAUUGAAGCGCGAUGGGAAAAGAAAAGAAAAACGAGGCAACACAUUUCUUCGAAGCCUCGUUAUAACAGCGUCAAAGCGGUUGACUAGGAAAGAAGGACGAACAAAAUAAAAUAUAUUGAAAGAAACAAUGGACUUUCUCUUCGACAAUUCACGAAAAUCGCGAACUUCAUUGUUGUGUCACAUAAAAAUCCGUCACCCUUCAAAUAGGCAAAAUGGAGGUCGUUUUCCACGAACGACAAGAGAAAGAAGAAGCCAACGACGACCUACAGAUUUCCGAUUGUGUUUUCCUUCAUUCGAUAUGGCAUGGCAAAUGAAGGGCAGAACAAGAGAGGGUCGUGCCGACUCGCCACCUACGCCGGAACUGAGACAAUCAAUGAAAAAUGGGGACAUUGUCGGAUGGUAUUAACUCCUUUGAUCACCAACCCCAUUCGCCCCGUUAGGCGGCAAAGACAAAUCGAUCAAAUUAGCACAAAGAACCAGGAGGUCUAAACAACCAACGCCGGUCACCGUGUCCGUUUCCCUUUCACGAUUUUCUUUUCUAUUUGCUGAAAGAAAAAAAAAUAUAAUAAAUAAAAUGUCCAGUUCCUUUCA
RNAcentral lists this long non-coding RNA (2426 nucleotides) under Daphnia magna. RNAcentral describes it as "uncharacterized LOC116930331, transcript variant X4". Lineage: Eukaryota; Metazoa; Arthropoda; Branchiopoda; Diplostraca; Daphniidae. The record is from RNAcentral.